Molecule: ribosomal RNA, 395 nt
Filed under: uncultured bacterium
Lineage: Bacteria
Description: bacterial SSU rRNA
Rfam family: Bacterial small subunit ribosomal RNA
Source: RNAcentral
GUGUCAGCAGCCGCGGUAAUACGUAGGGGGCUAGCGUUGUCCGGAAUUAUUGGGCGUAAAGCGCGUGUAGGCGGCUUGCCAAGUCCGGUGUGAAAACUGAGGGCUCAACCCUCAGCCUGCACUGGAAACUGGCUUGCUAGAGUCCGGAAGAGGAGACUGGAAUUCCUGGUGUAGCGGUGAAAUGCGCAGAUAUCAGGAAGAACACCCGUGGCGAAGGCGGGUCUCUGGGACGGUACUGACGCUGAGACGCGAAAGCGUGGGGAGCAAACAGGAUUAGAUACCCUGGUAGUCCACGCCGUAAACGAUGGGCACUAGGUGUGGGAGGUGUCGACUCCUUCCGUGCCGAAGCUAACGCAUUAAGUGCCCCGCCUGGGGAGUACGGCCGCAAGGCUAAA